This 87-nucleotide transfer RNA is filed under the name bacterium. Its description in RNAcentral is "tRNA-Leu". It matches the Rfam family "tRNA". From Rfam's summary of the family: Transfer RNA (tRNA) molecules are approximately 80 nucleotides in length. Their secondary structure includes four short double-helical elements and three loops (D, anti-codon, and T loops). RNAcentral also lists the same sequence under 2 other names. The record is from RNAcentral.
GCCGAAGUGGUGGAAUUGGUAGACGCACCGGUUUCAGGGACCGGCGGGCGCAAGCCUGUGGGGGUUCAAAUCCCCCCUUCGGCACCA